UCCAGAUCUCCUCAUAUCAGCUGUUUUGCUUAAGGUUCCCGGAAUCAAGCAAACAAAUGAAAAUCUCUGUGUUUGCCUGAAAAACACGGGAUCCACAUACGGCUCCAGGAGCACAGAAAAGGCAAAAGGAGCAGAGCGUGCAUGCAUUUUGUGGUUUUGCACCUUACACACCGAUCCCUUCUGUGCAAAGGACUGCAGAAAUGCUGGGCAUGGGGCACGGGACCUGUGGCUGGAGCAGAUAGGUGGUAACACACCGGCUCGGUGGGCAAUAUCCUUCAUCCUUUAGCAUGGUGCAGGAGGGAAAUCUCCCAGCUCCUGCUCCUUGGUCCCAGUUUGCCAUCCUGGAGGAGCAGCGAAGGAGUGCCGCAGCAAGUGUGCGUGCAUUAUUUGUUCUUGCAGGUUUGGGGGAAAGCAGCAGAAGAGAGGAGGCGGGGGAGAGGCAGGGCGUCAACAGCGAGAGAAUAUUAAAUAGCCUCCAGUAAAACGAGAGGUGGUUGAGAACCCACUCCAGGCUCUCCGAAUGGGUAAUGUGCGGCUGCUGCUAACGUUACGGUAAGCAGAGAGUGUUCUGGGAUCUGCCUAUCGACCCGGGCGCGCUGCCUUCAUGGCACAGAGUCUAGCGAAAUCAUUCACUCCCUGCACGGCGCCUUUUCCUUCAAUGGAGAGUGCACCCAUUAGGGAGCCUGGAGAGCAGCAGCGUUAUGAAUCACUAUCGAGUCUCGCCUUGUAAUUUUUUUUUUUUUCCCUUUAAAUGGAAGCUUUUUAAUCUGACGUCGUGGCACUUUUGGGGGUUUAGAACGAAGCUGAUUGCUGCUGCUGCUGCAGCUUGGUCUGCUGUUACCAAGAAACCAAAUAUCACAAUAAAGCUGUUUGUUAAGUCCAUACAAAGCGGCUGGUCAGGAGAGCAGAGGUCCAUCAGACCCCACCUGGGCCACUCAUAACAGGGACCGUGGUCCCCAGCCCAGGCAGGAGAAGCAGAGAGAUUUCCAACCCAAGCCCUGAGCACACUCACGGCUCUUAAACAAGCCUAGUCUGUAGUUUCAUCUGACCAUCAACGUCCUCGGAAAGUGUAAAUAGAAAAGUGACUGACAGCGGCUUUGUCCCCGUGUCUAAGAAAUCUCCCGCUAAAAUAGGCUCGGAAAGGAGCCAACUGAAAGUGAAAUGCUAAAGAAGGAAGCACAAAGAUUGCUGGUACUUAAUAUAAAUUUACAUCAUAAAGGCCAUUUCAGGCUCCAGUGUCUCAGAGACGUGCCUUCAUUUGGGACUGACUUCAGUUUCAUGUUAAUUUGCUGUAGUUAAAGCUACCUAAGUGGAUGUGCAAUGCCAAGCCUUUCAUUUCUUGAUGAUAAUUUCUAAAAGCUAUUAUUGAUCCAUUUGGUUUGAAAGCUUGCUGCAGCUCGAGGAAGCUGGGGAGAUGUCUGCUCUGCAGCACAGAUGAGACAUAAGUGGUUUCUAAAACAAUUUUGACCUUUCUUAGCCACGGCGGGUGUGAGGAUAACAAGGGCAAAUCUUCAGGCUUCAGACCCAUUUUUGGGUUGGAGGCUUCACAUUACCUAAAAGUUGAGGAAAGCUGCUUGGUCCUGGAGUUAAAGCUGUUGUUCAAUGUGGGCGCACACACGUGCACACAGCGCUCCUUAAACUCUGCCUCUCUCUUGUUUGCUGCUUUCCAUCCCACGGGGGAAAAACAAACCAGGUCCUCACUAAGCAGAAAAGGCUUUUUUAUUUAUUUACCUAUUUUUCUGUGUGUGGAGAAAGUUUAAAACCUGUUUCUCUUCUUCCUUG
Anser brachyrhynchus (Pink-footed goose) is the source of this 1782-nucleotide long non-coding RNA. Lineage: Eukaryota; Metazoa; Chordata; Aves; Anseriformes; Anatidae. The record is from Ensembl.